GUAUUGUAUGCGUUAAACGCGACAAACAUUCCAUGAGACUUUACGGCAGUGUGUGUGUAAAUACAUAGAACCACAGCAAGGGGACAAAGUCACCCAGGCCAUAGAACUACAGAGGGUGCACAGGUGUGGGUGGAUGUGUGAACAGAGCGUGCACAUGCCCCCGGUUUGGGGACCAGCAACAACUCGUGUUGACAGUUCGGUAAUGAUCCUUCCGCAGGUUCACCUACGGAAA
RNAcentral lists this unclassified non-coding RNA (232 nucleotides) under uncultured fungus. RNAcentral describes it as "sequence contains ITS1, 5.8S rRNA gene". The record is from RNAcentral. Lineage: Eukaryota; Fungi.